RNAcentral lists this ribosomal RNA (923 nucleotides) under uncultured bacterium. RNAcentral's name for it is "bacterial SSU rRNA". It matches the Rfam family "Bacterial small subunit ribosomal RNA", at positions 8 to 929 of the family's 1533-position model. The record is from RNAcentral.
AGAGUUUGAUCAUGGCUCAGGAUGAACGCUAGCGGCAGGCUUAAUACAUGCAAGUCGAGGGGCAGCACGGGUAGCAAUACUUUGGUGGCGACCGGCAAACGGGUGCGGAACACGUACAGAACCUUCCUUCGAGCGGGGCAUAGCCCGGAGAAAUCCGGAUUAAUACCCCAUAGUAAACCGGAGUGGCAUCACUUUGGUUUUAAAGAUUUAUCACUUGAAGAUGGCUGUGCGCCUGAUUAGGUAGUUGGCGGGGUAACGGCCCACCAAGCCUUCGAUCAGUAACUGGCGUGAGAGCGCGACCAGUCACACGGGCACUGAGACACGGGCCCGACUCCUACGGGAGGCAGCAGUAAGGAAUAUUGGUCAAUGGACGCAAGUCUGAACCAGCCAUGCCGCGUGGAGGAUGAAGGUCCUCUGGAUUGUAAACUUCUUUUAUUUGGGACGAAAAAAGGGAAUUCUUUCCCGUCUGACGGUACCAGAUGAAUAAGCACCGGCUAACUCCGUGCCAGCAGCCGCGGUAAUACGGAGGGUGCAAGCGUUAUCCGGAUUUACUGGGUUUAAAGGGUGCGCAGGCGGAUAUGUAAGUCAGUGGUGAAAUCUCUAGGCUUAACCUGGAAAUUGCCGUUGAUACUAUAUAUCUUGAAUGCUGUGGAGGUAAGCGGAAUAUGUCAUGUAGCGGUGAAAUGCUUAGAUAUGACAUAGAACACCUAUUGCGAAGGCAGCUUACUACGCAGAUAUUGACGCUCAUGCACGAAAGCGUGGGGAUCAAACAGGAUUAGAUACCCUGGUAGUCCACGCCCUAAACGAUGAUUACUCGACAUACGCGAUACACAGUGUGUGUCUGAGCGAAAGCAUUAAGUAAUCCACCUGGGAAGUACGACCGCAAGGUUGAAACUCAAGGAAUUGGCGGGGGUCCGCACAAC